CUACAGGCUUAACACAUGCAAGUCGAGGGGCAGCAUGGUCUUAGCUUGCUAAGGCUGAUGGCGACCGGCGCACGGGUGAGUAACACGUAUCCAACCUGCCGUCUACUCUUGGCCAGCCUUCUGAAAGGAAGAUUAAUCCAGGAUGGCAUCAUGAGUUCACAUGUCCGCAUGAUUAAAGGUAUUUUCCGGUAGACGAUGGGGAUGCGUUCCAUUAGAUAGUAGGCGGGGUAACGGCCCACCUAGUCAACGAUGGAUAGGGGUUCUGAGAGGAAGGUCCCCCACAUUGGAACUGAGACACGGUCCAAACUCCUUCGGGAGGCAGCAGUGAGGAAUAUUGGUCAAUGGGCGAUGGCCUGAACCAGCCAAGUAGCGUGAAGGAUGACUGCCCUAUGGGUUGUAAACUUCUUUUAUAAAGGAAUAAAGUCGGGUAUGCAUACCCGUUUGCAUGUACUUUAUGAAUAAGGAUCGGCUAACUCCGUGCCAGCAGCCGCGGUAAUACGGAGGAUCCGAGCGUUAUCCGGAUUUAUUGGGUUUAAAGGGAGCGUAGAUGGAUGUUUAAGUCAGUUGUGGAAGUUUGCGGCUCAACCGUAAAAUUGCAGUUGAUACUGGAUGUCUUGAGUGCAGUUGAGGCAGGCGGAAUUCGUGGUGUAGCGGUGAAAUGCUUAGAUAUCACGAAGAACUCCGAUUGCGAAGGCAGCCUGCUAAGCUGCAACUGACAUUGAGGCUCGAAAGUGUGGGUAUCAAACAGGAUUAGAUACCCUGGUAGUCCACACGGUAAACGAUGAAUACUCGCUGUUUGCGAUAUACGGCAAGCGGCCAAGCGAAAGCGUUAAGUAUUCCACCUGGGGAGUACGCCGGCAACGGUGAAACUCAAAGGAAUUGACGGGGGCCCGCACAAGCGGAGGAACAUGUGGUUUAAUUCGAUGAUACGCGAGGAACCUUACCCGGGCUUAAAUUGCACUCGAAUGAUCCGGAAACGGUUCAGCUAGCAAUAGCGAGUGUGAAGGUGCUGCAUGGUUGUCGUCAGCUCGUGCCGUGAGGUGUCGGCUUAAGUGCCAUAACGAGCGCAACCCUUGUUGUCAGUUACUAACAGGUGAUGCUGAGGACUCUGACAAGACUGCCAUCGUAAGAUGUGAGGAAGGUGGGGAUGAC
Molecule: ribosomal RNA, 1152 nt
Filed under: uncultured bacterium
Lineage: Bacteria
Description: bacterial SSU rRNA
Rfam family: Bacterial small subunit ribosomal RNA
Source: RNAcentral